GUCACUUCAAGUUAAAAAAAAAUGGAAAUCACACCUUUGAUGAGCAAAAUAUAUUCUCUCAAUGGCCCCAAGAGGAUGAAAUCCAAGCAUAAACUAGAAAGUCAUUAACAAGACAAGUAGUUUACAUAAUCUUAAACAACAAGAACAUCAACUGUGUAUUAUAUCCUAAACCAAGAGUAAGGUGAUUCCUUUCAAGGAAAUUGUUCUCUAGAAGAAGUGAUUCCUCUCCUUUCACUCAUCCGCCCUUCAAUUCCUUUACUUCCACGCUAACAAUAAAUGAAAUUUAGGGGGUUGUUCUCUAUUCUAAACAAGCAAGUAACCCCCUCUAAGCCCACAACUUUCCUUCAUUUAAACUAUAACAACCACCUGCCAUUAAAA
RNAcentral lists this unclassified non-coding RNA (378 nucleotides) under Hevea brasiliensis (rubber tree). The record is from RNAcentral. Lineage: Eukaryota; Viridiplantae; Streptophyta; Magnoliopsida; Malpighiales; Euphorbiaceae.